RNA transcript from Neocloeon triangulifer, 7941 nucleotides. It is a transcript of the gene named putative phosphoenolpyruvate synthase, with no coding region annotated. The record is from RefSeq and is a predicted model, not a curated record. Lineage: Eukaryota; Metazoa; Arthropoda; Insecta; Ephemeroptera; Baetidae. The transcript has 29 exons.
UUGGCCGAUUCGUUAUCAGAGCGAGCGGGCGGGCUGUGCUGCGUGGGCAUUUGGCAGCCUGUCUGCCGCUAAAUCAUUUAUUUGCAUCUCAUUCAGUGCUGCAUGUGAUGACCACUAUCGCUGAUUACUAUGGAGUCAACACGCUCGUCCAGUACGCCGAGCUCAUAAUGGACUGGCUGAUUGAUGAGGUGAUGCUGGAUGCAGCGAUGCUGAUCGCGCCCAUCGCCAUCUACAUCGUCAUCAGGCACAUUUUGGUCGAGGACACCGAUGACCCUCGCAGGGUCAUUUACACCCAGGCAGGAUGGAAUUACUACAUCAAAAAGUUUUGGGCUCGCUAUUGUUUGGGAAAACGCUGGCCCGGCGAAGAGCCUUUGGAGAAGAAAAAGGAAAUUUACUCGGUGACCGCCACUCCUUACGAGACCAAACUGGAAACUCCGCGAAAAAUUAAAAAGGACAUGGACAUGGACAGUAUGACGAUAUUUGGCUGUGAUUCAAAAGGUACCACGCUGAAAUUGAACAUAGUCCGAAAGUUUCAACAUUCAGAAGUUUGGGUUUAUCUGUCUCUUCCCAAUGGUGCUGUCUAUCAACUUCCAGAACACCCGGACACGACGUACCUAAGCGGCCAAUGGCGGCAGUUCGAAGCGGCCGACUUGAAAUUCACCGCGAUCGAGCCGAUGCGAAGAUGGCGAAUAACUUUUAAUGGCACAUUACGCAAAGGUGUUGCUAAUGAAUGGCGAUUAGAACACGACGAGGCCGCGCUGCUGCACGUCAGAUUCAAUUUCAUAUGGACGGCGUGCAGCGAUUACGUGGAAACGAGAGAUUCGUGGGACAGCACGCUGCUGAGCGAAGCGUUAGCCAGGGAAACGUGGAGAGACGGCGACUGGCUUGACAUGGUUUUCAUGGAGCCAGAGGGAUAUGAUCAAUUUGGUGUCAUGGAUGGCAUUGUGAAAAUCGGCGCAGAUGACGAAGGGUCGCGCCUUUACCUCCGUGGCGUGCGUCAAAGGCGAUGGGGCGAAGUCAACGAAGCGAAUUUGUUACGGAGCGUUCGCGUGCACGGUGUGGCGCCUGACGGAUGCUUUUUCACGUUAAACACUAGUUGCAGGCGCGACGGACUCACAAUGGCAAAAUGGGGUCUGGUGCGCACCCCAACGGGCAGGGUUAACAGGGUGGACAAAAGCAAUUUCGACCUUGCAAAUACAGGCCAUCACAAAAAUUUGCCAGGCCAACUCAAGUUGAAUUUCUCAACAAAUUCUAAAAACUACAUCGUCAGCGUGCAGCUUGAGGAACGUUCUGGUGCCGUCGUUUACAGCGGUCAACCUUGGAGACAACAGACGUUCCUCAGGAAGCUGCAGUUUGGGAUCAAUGGCUUGCAAGGCGUUGGAUUCACAGAGUUUGCGUAUUGGUAUAGAGGGCCUUGCAACGCAGAAAGGCCUGUGCCCGUCACUUUUCUGCGGCCCAAGAAGUGGGACUGCUUGAGAGACGGCCACGUGCCUCUGGUGUGCGACCUGCGGGAAAAGGCGGCGCAGAUCGAGACUCUGGUGGGCGGAAAAGCGCUUUCGCUGGCGCUGCUCAAAUCACUUGACGAUUGCCGAUUCGACGUCCCCAGCGGCUUCUGCGUGACCAGCGAGGCGUACGCCAGGCAGACUCAAACCUUUCCUCUGCUUCAAUCGGCCGUCGAUUUGCUCAAAGAUGCGGCCACCGGCCAAAAGGAGCUCGAACUCAAAUGCGUCUGCCGCAAAGUGGCUGAAGCAUUUGAAGUUACAAAACUUUGCCAAGAUGUGACAAAUGUGAUGGAAAACUAUUUAGAUAAAUACAGUGACGAAACUAUUUUUGCCGUGCGUUCAUCUGCAAUUGGAGAGGACUCGGCUGACCUCUCAAGUGCAGGUCAAAAUUCAACAAUUUUGGGCGUCAAACGUCAAAACGUCGCUCAGGCUGUGAUGAAGUGUUGGGCCUCCCUCUUUUCCGAACAUUCGGUCAUGUACCGAUGGCAGCAUGGACAAGAAUUGGACCCUGGGAUGGCCGUCGUGGUGCAGGUCAUGGUUCCCGCGAAUGCCGCGGGAGUUCUUUUCACGCGGCACCCCUUUACCGGAAACCCGCGACAAAUUGUCAUCACUGCCAAUUAUGGUCUGGGAGAGAGCGUCGUGUCGGCGAGCGCUGAACCGGACACAGUUCUGAUCUCACGCAGCCGGAAUAACAAUAGCCUGAAGAUCGAGCAAGUGCAGAUUGGCUCGAAAAAGGACAGCAUCUUUCUGUCAACGAGUGGCGAGGGCACCGAAAGUAUUAAUAUUGCCGACGAGCAGAGGGAAAAAUUGUGCUUGAGUGACGAUCUGCUGCUCAAACUGGCCCAAAUUGGAGAGGCCCUCGAGAGGCAAUUCGGUUCGCCAAGGGACAUUGAGUGGGCUGUUCUUGAGGACAAGAUUCAUCUGCUGCAAGCACGUCCCAUCACAGCCCUAGACUCUUGGACUGACUUUGAACUGGAGCACGAGCUAGACAUGCCCAUCGUCAUGGACAACGACAUUCUAUCAAUCGCCAACACUGGUGAGGUGUUCCCCGGUGCAACGAAGCCGCUGACCCAGUCGGUGUUGACCAGGCUGCUGGACCUGGAGAUCCAAGAACAAUGCAUCAAGAGGAACAAAAAUAGGUCCUUCUGCAAUCUAUACCAGUCGUUUGUUGGCACCACUUCAAACCACGUUGUUAUCAGCGUCAUCAACACGGUGCUGAGCAACCUUGAUGAAAAAAUUGGGACCACCAACAAAGUGAUGGACCUGGCUGUGUUUGGCCAUUUGGUCACCGACGAGCGCCUCCACUCGACCGGCGUGCAAAGGUUCGGCUACAUGAGUUCUUUCACGAAAUUCCUCACCAUUUACGACAUGCUUAUGGACACGAUGUCUGCCGGCAAAGUAGAAAAAUCUGGCAAAAGGGAGGUGCAGAAUUACAAAGUGAGCCACUCAAAAAAUGCCAGCGCGGAAGAGCUGAUGAGCGCUAUUCAACAAAGUCUGCCUCACUUUGUGAAGAUUAUUAGAAUGCACGGCCACAUGUCCAGGGUUAGCAUUUUCACACAGGUCGCUGCCAUGUCGGUUCUCACAGAAAACAACGAUGAUUGGUGCACAGAUCAUUACACCGACAUAUCUUUGCUGCUCUCGUCAUGUUCGAACGUUGAGUCGGCCGAAAUUCCGAGCCAGCUGCGCGAAAUAGCUGCCAUGAUCGCCGAGGAGGAUUCUGAUUUUUUCACGUCCGCCGAGCCGGCGAUCGCUUUUAAUUGGAUUCUGAAGGAGUCGGAAGCGGCCUCCAAAUUCACUUCAUUCCUCGAAGCGCACGGCCACCGGUCCAUCAGAGAGUUCGAGUUUCACACGGCCACAUGGGGAAUGAAUCCGGAGAGCCUCAUCAAAACGCUGCAGGCGCUGGUCAAGAGUCCGCACCCCGCGCCUGAAAAUGCCAUAUCCCUGUCGGUCAAUGAGACCUGCCAAAUUCUCAAAUCGCCAACCAAAGGCGGAACAAGACGAGCCCUGCGCUUUUUACUGCCGCACUGUCGGACGGCGGUAGCGCGCCGAGAAAAGUCGAAAUCUGGAUUAAUUUGUGCGGUGCACGUCUUACGAACGGCGUAUCGGCGUUUAGCUCGAUUAUUGGUGCGUGAGGGUCGUCUACCUGAGGCGGACCUGCUCUUCUACAUGACCAACCACGAGAUCAGCCGUUUGGUGAGCCAUCGAGACCCCGUGCUGCUUGCCAAGGCGGCAAGAAGGAGACGGCUUUGGCACCACUGGGAGAGCUUGAAGUACGAGGAAAUUUUCUUCGGGGUGCCGCGACCAGUCCAGGAACAAGAAAAUUCUAUGGUGGGAAUUCAAACGAUGAAGGCGACGCCAGUGUGCUCAGGGGUGGUUUUGGGCCGGGCUUGCGUUGUCUCCGAGCUGAGCCAGACGGCUGACAUUGUGCGCGGCGACAUUCUCAUCACCCACUGCACAGACAUCGGCUGGAGUCCCUAUUUCCCUUUGCUGGCCGGCAUAGUCACCGAGCUCGGAGGGCUCAUAUCUCACGGAGCCGUAAUUGCCAGGGAGUACGGACUGCCAUGCAUCGUUGGAGCGACAAACGCAACCCAAAUCUUCCGCACAGGCUUCAGCCAAAUAAUUGGCAGUUGAUCGAAGAGGACUUUGGGCAGACUUUCGUCCAGCAGCCCUGUUUCUCGGUUGAAACGCGCCCCCUCCAAGAAAAGGCCCUUAGGCCCCGAUUUUUGGUGCGUCGCUGGCAGUGUCUGUGUCUAGGAUGUCAAACUCGAAGCCCACAGCAUCGAUGGGCACUUUGAAGAAUCGAGCGUAGUUCUGCAUGACGCCUGUCAGGAAAGACUGGGUGAAGUAAAAUCCGGAGAUCCAGUAGACGUUGGGCGCUCCAAAUUUGAUCCAGUCGUCAAAGAACUGAAGCCUCUUGAGAAGGUCGUUGACAUAACUGGCCAGAGGCUUCAGUGAUGGGUACGACUUGGCCAGCCAGAACUGAGGCACUCGACCAAGAAGGAGGCUGCCCUGAAUUUCCUCAAGCUCAGGGGUCAUCACCACUUGACCUUUGAUGGCCUUUUGCAUCAUUGAAAGCGAGGAACGAAUCCUGCUGGUCAGUCUGUUGAACCUGAUGAGCUCCUGCACCAAAAAAGAGAAUUGCAUUACGGAAUAUAAUUUAAUUAUUUCUUAUUACUUGGCGCAGGACAGUGUUCAUGGAGUUGUUGUAAUCGAAGGGGAACUUUUCGCCCACUACCUUCAAGUUGAAUCCGUCCGGCAUUCUCUCCAAAAUGUCUUCAGCAAUCUCGUGCAGAACCUGCAGAGAAGCGCCUCCAGCGCCCAUUCCACCAAUGCUAGGUUGAGUCUCCAAAGCUCCAUUCAAGAACUAACAAUUGGAAUAAGUUGCUUCCGUAUAAUUAAUAAUUGUGAUUUUAUUUUACCUCAUUGGUCUCUUGCAUUUCCUUUGUGAUCUCGGCAUUCUCGUGGAGGCCAAACAACUCGGGUCUAGCAGUGAGAGGCAUGGCUUGAAUGUUGGCAAUGCAGCCUUCUUGCAGGGUGUUCUCUGGCAUUGAGUAAACGCCACUAUGGGAAAAUUUGUAGCUGCAAUAAAUAAUAAAUCAUUGCUGUGUUGUUUUUAAUGGUUAAAUUUUACCCAGCCUCUUCGACAACAGCAGAUGACAGGAAAUUGGUCAGGAGAGAAGCAAUCAGGCGUCUGUCGUUGCCAUCAGUGACUCUUCCUCCAUAGAAACACUCAGAAAUCAAAUAGUGCAAGGCGUCGAAUGGGAUCUUUGUUGCGUUUUUGAGGAAUUUCUAGAAUUAAAUAUUUGUUUUACCAGAGAAAAUUGACAAAAUUCACAAUCGAUUUUGCUUACAUCCAUCUGCUUGAUUGAAAUAUCAAAGUCAGAGUCGUUGAACUCGUACGGGAUGUUCCAGCCCAAGGGCCCGAAGCUUCGUCUUUCCUGGACCAUGGCGUGGAAAAGGCAAACGCCAAAGAGCAGCUUCUGGUGUGCUACAGACCGCUUGGACAGGUAGUCUUCAGAGCUGAGCGGCUCAUUAAGGUACAUGCGCAUCAUGUUCGAGCGCAGUCCCUUAGGCGCCUCGUUGGUCAUUUUGAUGCCGCUUUGAAGGAUGGACACAGGGAAUGAAGACGAUGGGUAGCUGGUCAGCCACAGUCUGAAAUCUUUGUCAGCUACGUCCGGUUUCAAAAGCUCGUUGCACAGGUGCUCCAGUUGAGCCAUCCAACUUGUGGCCAGGUGGCAGUUGUUCAGGAUGACCCAAGAGCGAGACUUGACGGCCUGCUUGAUAGCAAUCUCAGCCUUCUCGCCCUGACCCUUGCCCAUAGAGAAGAAAAUCAGCUUCUUGGCGUCCAUUUCAAAGGCCAGUUGGUAAAGUGAGGACGUGGGAUCGGAGCCCGCAGAAAGGAUGAAGAUGAGAGGAGUUGAGCAAGUGGAGUCUUCGAAGACUUUGCUCAGGUUGAAGGUUGGUGGGUCGACAUAUUUUGAACCAAUCUCGUUGGCAAUCAGCUUCUGGACAGCAGGGACAAGCUUGUUAGGCUUAAGGCACUUGAUGACUGCCAGCCAUCCCAGCCUGCAAACUUUGUCCAUCGGUGCAGGAAGCGUCUUUUCAUGGGGACUCGGGUCAUUGAACCAAUCCUCCCACUGCUUCACACUUAGUCUUACGCUGCUUUCGAAUUCCGAGAGUCUAUAAAGUGUGUGAAACAUUGAUAAAAACAUUAAAUUUCAAGCGUAAUAAUUAAUAUUUACUGAGCAAUCAUUUUUGUAGCCCUGCAAAUGUCUCCCCACAUCUUCUCAGUGAGCCACGAAGGGUCCGGAUUUUCACUAAUGUCGCCAGUUGCUCCAGUGGUGAGAAGGAAUUUUAGUGCUUCUUCCUCAAUAACACCCUAAUCAAAAGAAAUCAGGAAUAUUCGUUUAAAAAGGUAUUUAAAUUUCAUACACUGAGUCGCAUCAUGGCCACACACAAGUUGAAGGAGAAAAUGAGUUUGUGCUUCUCAAAUAGAGAUUGGCAGACGUUUCUGUAGAGGUUGUAGGUGAAAGUCUCUUUAAUGACAUCAAGCCACAUUGAUGGGUCCUCUGGCUUUUCUGCUGUUUUGAUUGACUAAAAUUAUAAUUAAUUAGUAAAAAUACCAUUAUAAGGUUGAUAUGUCUUACAUGAACAUAAAGGCUCAUGUACCAAUUCAGAGAGUACUGAUACAUUGGUUCCAAGCUUCCAAGAGCAGAAAUACAGAAGAAGAGUUCAGAAGCGUGACGAGCUACAGUCAAGUAAAUGGCCCUUGUGUCUUCGAGCAGUUUCUCCGUCUCUUUGGCUUUCUCUUGUUUUGCUUUAAUUGUUUCUGACAAUUUCUGUGCACAGCAAAUAAAUUAUUUUUGCACCACGUUAAUGAAAAAUUUAAAUACCUUCGCAUUGGUAAGAGUGUUGAUUGCCGUCUCAUCCUCAAGAAUGUCACCUUCCGCCUUGGAAAGAACGUCCAAGAUCCUCCUCUCGGUCUCGACGAGUUCCUUCCUAUUUUGAGCGCCUUCCACAAUCAGAAGCUGCCGACACUCUUCCAGAUCCGGCCUUUCUGUAGCCACCACAAGGCCAAGCAACUGAUCCUCAAGACCCUGCGGCGUGAUGGCAAAGUUAAGGAGCGUCACCAUGAUGGCAGUUUCGGGCAGGUAGUGAGGGUUUGACAGGCGAGUGGUCAGGAAAAGCUUGAAGUUUUCAUUGUAGCGAACAACGUCGUUUCCCACUUUGAUGUUCAGCAUUCCACCAAGAACAUAAGUUUGCUUGAGGAACAGAGGAUCUAGAAUUGAAUGGUAAUGUAAAAUUAUUCAUUUCAAUUUAUAAAUAUUGAGCUCACUCAAAGCUGGGUCAAGUUCUUCACCGACAUCUUCAAUAAGAGCUGGAUAUCCACUGGUGAUUGCUCUUUGCAGCUCAUCAGUAUAUUUUGGACUUGACAUUUUCAGGACUACCAGGUUGUAAUCUUUGUAUGCAUUUUUGAUCCAGUUAUUGGCCUGACCCUGGGGAUCGAUGAAGAGAGGCCAUCUGCCAGCAUUGUGGGAAAUGAUGGCAUUAUCUUGGGAGAAGUCAUCCACGGGCAGGCCAGCAAUGGCCCAGUCUUGAAUUUGCACAGGAUCGCCCAGUGAACUGAGCAUGGAGUAACUGUCUGAGCAGGGAAUGUUGAUCUCUUUGCACUUCUUGAUCCAUUUCUUUUGAAUAUCCUGGAACCAAUUAAAAAUUAAUCAAUCUUUGUUCUUUCUUAAUCAGAACAAAAAAUGAAAAUACUUUUUUUCAUACAAUAAUUUGGCAACUGCUCUAUUUACCUUUCUGUAGUCAACAGAAAAUGGGCCCAAGUAAGCAAUGAUUCCCACUGACAGGAGCAUGUCUCCAACAACAGUGGCUAAGCGUCCUCGGUGGAAAGUUUCCAAUUCAGCCCAUCGGACUCUUUCCCCUCCGACACCAG